This 272-nucleotide ribosomal RNA is filed under the name uncultured Clostridium sp. Its description in RNAcentral is "partial 16S ribosomal RNA". It matches the Rfam family "Bacterial small subunit ribosomal RNA", at positions 58 to 339 of the family's 1533-position model. The record is from RNAcentral. Lineage: Bacteria; Bacillati; Bacillota; Clostridia; Eubacteriales; Clostridiaceae.
CAAGUCGAGCGAGGUAUUUAUACCUAGCGGCGGACGGGUGAGUAACACGUGGGUAACCUGCCUCAAAGUGGGGAAUAGCCUUCCGAAAGGGAGAUUAAUACCGCAUAAUGUACACAUUUAGCAUUAUCAGUGUACCAAAGGAGAAAUCCGCUUUGAGAUGGGCCUGCGGCGCAUUAGCUAGUUGGUGGGGUAACGGCUCACCAAGGCCACGAUGCGUAGCCGACCUGAGAGGGUGAUCGGCCACAUUGGAACUGAGACACGGUCCAGACUCC